UGGGGCAACAAGUACUUCAAGGACAAUUUCAACAGAUUGGUAAAAGUGAAGACCAAAGUUGAUCCCGAUAACUUUUUCAGGCAUGAACAGAGCAUCCCACCUCUUCCAGUUUCCGUUGGAAGAAAAAGAAGAGGAAGAAGAGGAGGAAUACCGAAUUAGAGAUCUAAAAUUAGCUUGUUUGGAGCGCCAUGUGUCCCCAAAUUUGUUUGGCUAAGUAAAGAAGAAUAAUAAUUUUUA
RNAcentral lists this unclassified non-coding RNA (237 nucleotides) under Hevea brasiliensis (rubber tree). Lineage: Eukaryota; Viridiplantae; Streptophyta; Magnoliopsida; Malpighiales; Euphorbiaceae. The record is from RNAcentral.